AAGUCGUAACAAGGUUUCCGUAGGUGAACCUGCGGAAGGAUCAUUAUCGAGUUUUGAACGGGUUGUCUGCUGGCUCGCAAGGGCAUGUGCACGCCUGUCUCAUCCACUCUCAACUUCUGUGCACUUUUCAUAGGCCGGCUUGUGGGUGCGUUCGCGCACUUGUAGGUGUCGGGCUUAUGCUUUACUACAAACGAUUUAGUUUUAGAAUGUCAUACUUUGCUAUAACGCAAUUUAUAUACAACUUUCAGCAACGGAUCUCUUGGCUCUC
This 268-nucleotide unclassified non-coding RNA is filed under the name Bjerkandera adusta. RNAcentral describes it as "partial internal transcribed spacer region". The stretch from base 1 to 46 matches the Rfam family "Eukaryotic small subunit ribosomal RNA", at positions 1786 to 1831 of the family's 1831-position model. Lineage: Eukaryota; Fungi; Basidiomycota; Agaricomycetes; Polyporales; Phanerochaetaceae. The record is from RNAcentral.